AUCCGUGAACAUGUCGAGCAUCAGUUCUCUCCAUCCUGCAGACUUCUUCCUCCACACAAAGGUCUUGCACCAACAUCCUUCUCUGCAGAUUGCAAGGGCAACUCUCUCCCAUCUCCUACUUCCAGCCACUGGAUUUUCCACUGAAGGACAAAAGACUCUUUGCAGAUUCCCAGACAUGCCUCUGACAUCCACCAUGCCACAAGGGUGAUGCUUUCACAGUUCCCUCGGCAUUUUGGUCAUCUUCUCAACAGCUUUGAAACUCUCUCCUUGAACCUUUUUAAUAGGG
Long non-coding RNA from Myiozetetes cayanensis, 286 nucleotides. RefSeq lists it as uncharacterized. The transcript is spliced from 3 exons. Lineage: Eukaryota; Metazoa; Chordata; Aves; Passeriformes; Tyrannidae. The record is from RefSeq and is a predicted model, not a curated record.